GCAUGCCCGGCCGAGUGGUUAGUGCUAUGUUUGUUGAACAAGAGGUCUCCGGUUCGAUCCUGGUCGCGCGCA
Molecule: transfer RNA, 72 nt
Filed under: Helianthus annuus (common sunflower)
Lineage: Eukaryota; Viridiplantae; Streptophyta; Magnoliopsida; Asterales; Asteraceae
Description: tRNA HanXRQr2_Chr13g0582521
Source: RNAcentral